Molecule: long non-coding RNA, 4535 nt
Organism: Passer montanus (Eurasian tree sparrow)
Lineage: Eukaryota; Metazoa; Chordata; Aves; Passeriformes; Passeridae
Exons: 8
Source: RefSeq, a predicted model, not a curated record
CAGGCAAGGGAACGCCUUGUCCUGCUCCCGAGGGGACUCUGGGGGUCCCCGCCCUCGGAGAGGUGUCCCCAAAGUGUGCGUGUGCUUUGUCCCUGCGGGCUGCCAGCGCUGCCGUGUUUAUUUUUCCAGGGAAGGCUGUCCAACAGGCUGGAGCGCUUAUUUUUAAGGCGACACGGGGGGACUUUGCCAGCGGGCGGGCACAGGCUGAGCCUGGGACUGUCAGCAGCAGGGCUGAGCCCCAGCCCUUCCCAGCACCCGCAGGCAGGCUUUAGCCCAUCAUCCCUGUGCUGAACGCUCGUUGUGUCUUUUUCCCUCCAAGCACUGGGAAUAUGUCUGCUUGGAGCUGCCCAUUCCGCACGCUGUACAUGGACGGACCUCGUGAUUUCCUCGUCAGGCACAUCUGGUAACAGCCGUACCCCAAACACCCCUAGGGAUGGUCUGUCUGCCCUUCUCACACCACCCCUGGAUGUCUCCCACCCCCUUUCACAUCUCACUGUAAAGACAAGCAAAGCAGGCAGUUGCCCACAGCCUCCUCCCGUGGGUCCCUGUGUAAACUUUGCAGCUCUGUUUUCCCUGGACUCACAGCGCUGUCAUCACCCCCCUCUUCCUGACCUUCUCACACCCCCCUCGAAUGCAGCCCUACCUUCCAUCUCUUUCCUCACUGCAGAGGCUCUAAUGGCCUAAACCAACCCUCCCCCCACAGUUUAUCUCUGCUGUCCCCAUGCUGCAGCCUGCUCGUGGAAUGAUGGACAAGCUAAAGGUUGAGAAAAUACAGUAAAAUGCCUUUCUUAUCCUGUAAUGACCAAGGGGGAGGACACAACCUGAUAAAAAUGACAAACCAGGAGAAUUGAGAGCCAGACCCUUCACCUGCCUGUCCCUCAGUGCACAGAAAACACUUGAUAGACCUGCUGUGAUUGCAACUGCUGCAAGCCUGGGAAAGAAAGGAAUUAACGACUGAGCCAAAUAGAGCUACAGGUUUCUGACCAAAGAAAUGUCCUUCUGCUACCUGUGAAGAGGUUAAUUCAGAGACUUACAUAGGAAGAAAACCUGAAGCAGGCUGAUCAUUUGGAGCUGGUGGAAAACGCAUCUGCAGCCCUGUGUUUUAUGGCCAGAGGGCUUUGCUUAGCAUCUGGCACCUGCAUAGUCCCACUGCAGUGAUGGAGGCUCACAUGACAGAUAGAUCCAGCUGCUUGCUUGGGCCUAUCUCUGUUUUCAACCACUCACUUUGCUCCUCUGUUUUUAUUGGCAUGACUUUCAACAGCAACCACUAGUGCUGGAUCAGCCAUUUCCUGGCAGGCAGUGACCAGGAGGCAAACAUUUCAUCCUCUAAAUUGCCCCAAAGGCAGUCUAAGAUGCUCUGCAGCAAACACUUGAGCCGCAAACAAAGCUCCUUCCACCUCCCAUUUAAACAAAUUGAACCUGAAGAGGCCACAGGGAGUGACAGAUGGGGGAGAUAAAGGCAUAAGACUUUAAGUAUUGCUAUGGCUGCUUGAAGUAACUGUAGUAGAAACUUCCACGGAUUUUCUACUCUCCUUCCUUGCUCCUGAGUCUGGAUGGAGACUGAAGCAGGCUCUUUUUGCUUCUUUAUGUUUGCUCUACUCAGCCUCCCUCCCACCACCCUUGUGGCUGCCUCCUCCUCUUUCAUCUCAGAUAUUGAAGCUCUCUCAGGCUGGCACUUUCUUCCCAUGCCCACCAGCAGUACUUUGGGCAAAGAGCCUCACGUUGUACCCUGUAGUCACCUGGUGCUCCACAAGGCAAUUAUUUGAAAAGAAUUCGCUUUCUUUGAAAAGAAUGGGCUGAUCAUUUAGUCUUCUCCUCUAUUCCCUUCCUAAAAUCAUGCUAAAAGGAGGUUAAAUGACCUUCAGUCAUUCCUUUACUUUCUUGUGCUGUAACCACCACAGAGAUGGUACAAAACUGUAGUGGGAGGAGAAGCAGCAUGAGCAAAUCCUGUCUGUCAGGUGGCCUCUGUCUCAAAACACAGCCCUGAGCUGGAUGCAGCUACUGUGGGGCUUGGGGAAGGGGGAACAGGGGACCUGUGUAGUGUCUUGGCCAGGUAACUCAGGCUUAACUCUGUGUUAGCUCCCCAGAUCAAACUGCCCUUUGCAGCAUGCAGAGAAGGCAUUUCAGACUCCCUGAUAUGAUAUGACACAUCCCCAUCAAAUCUGGGUAUCCUCUUUUCUUUUUAACAGGGAGGCAAAAAAAAAAAUCCAAAAAAGGAAAAAUAUCCUCCAUGAUUAAGACAGGUUUGAAAAUUUAAUUAUAGACUAUGUUCUGAAAGAGACAAGCAAGAGAGCAUUAUAUGUGAUGUAUUUGCCAACAAAUGUGAGCAGGGAGCCAAGGUACUGGGCAAAAGGGAGUAGCAAAACCCUUGGAAUUUCGCUACUAAAAGCCAAGUCUCAGUGAAGCCCUGCAGCCACAUUUACCCAAAGCUUGAAUGGAACAGAAUCAAUUGAUCUUUUAUUACUGCUGUGGUCCAGCCUAAAUUCCUCCUGUUUUGCACACCUGGAGUUAGAGAGGCGAGGAUGCAGCCUGGGCUUCUCAAUUUGCACCUUUCUCCCAACUAAGACACACUCUAAAGAAGAGCAGAUUCCCAGCAGUAAGGCAGGCUGGCCCUCCCUCUGUCACACAUUUUUGAGGGCUGCAUCAGACCUGUGCUAUUUUAAACCCCUGUGAUUUUUGCAGAAACCUGAUUCUGCUUUAAUCCUGAGCAGCAGCACACACAGGUGGCUCCAGGCACUUGGCCCCAUCACAGCACAGCUGUGAAGUAGGUAAAUGGCCAUGUGCACAGCAGGUUUUUCCUAGGAAAGCAAGAACAAAGUGGACACAACAGGUGAACUGGUUCCAGCAAGCAUUUGGCAAAUGGAAGAGCUAGCCCUGCAGCUCCUGUAGGUAAUGAGGAGAAAGGAGGACUACAGGUAAGCAAAAAGUGGUUCAGGACCUCAAGAGACUACAUGCAGGAAAAGCUGAAAGCUUUCUGCUUUCAGGAAGGGGCAUGGGUCAACCUGUGUGUGGAGGAGCCCAGCUCCUCCCACAGUGGCUCUGCAAUGAUUAGCUUCACCUUGGCAGCAAAGAGGCUUAUUUAAGGGAGAAUCAGCUCAUGGCAAAUGCAGCUCUUCAUCCAUCCACAUACAGCAAAGCUGAAAGAUCAGGCUGCUGAGAGGGACAGGGCUUUGGGUUGCUGGUCAGCUGCCAUUCUGCUCGUUUGCAGUGGUUCUCCUCAGCAGCAUUACAGACUGCGUCCAUACUCAAGCUGGCCAGAGAGACAAGCCAGCUCUGAGCUGGAGAGGGCAUUGUGCCAAACCAGAGCGAGCCAGUGCUGCUGAGAGGUUCCCCAAAGACAGGUGGUGGCUGAAUUCAGGGCAACUGGCUUAUGGCAACCCCCAAAGUCCUCCAUGGAGCUGGGCUGGAGAAUUGCAUGGGAAAGCCCUAGACGGAGUUCCUCACUCGCAGAGCAGCGAGCAAACUGGGAAAGCUGGACCAGGAUGCUCCUGCUGGCUCCACCACGGAGCACCAAGAGGCCACCCCCUCCACUCACCCUCUGUCAAACUCGGCCACGUCCCUCAGCUGUCCCCGGUGUUCAAACCCACUUCUGGGAGACAGCAGGAAAGAUGAAAUGCUCAGCAUCCUCACCAGUCCCUGAGGAGGAGGGAUGGCUAGCAGCCACCAGCACCUUUUCUGGACCCAGAUGAUGAUGUAUCAAGGAAAUUGGUGCUAAACCAUAAAAGGCACCUCUCUAGGGAAGGACAAGGGAAGGAUGGGAGUAUCUACUCUGCCUGGAGACAGGAGUGGGUGAAGAACACUCAGCACUGGUUUAAAACAAGUCAGUGCUUCCACAGGAGCAGCCGUUCCACCACAGGCAGGUGGUUUGCAGCAGGAUCCUCAUCUUGAACUCAGGGAAAAGCAGAAGUGCACUGGCAGAGCUGUCUGGGGAGCUGGGAACAGGAACCUAGAGGUUCUUCUGGCCAAGACUGUGAUCUGUUUAUCAGAUCUCUGUUCAGGAGCCUACAGCAUCCUUCCUGCCUAACCGUAAGGAGCACCACAGCUUGUAUUGAUAUCCUGCUUGCAUGGGAACCCCUAGAGCUGAGCCUCAGGUGUUUGGUGAGAGCUGCUGACAGUGAGCCAGAUGGAGGACAGUGUCAUCAAUGGAUGACAGUGUCACUGACAGUGCAAGCAGGUCUCUUCUUUCCACUUCUGCACUGCUGGUUUAAACUGGGCUGCUGACAGAGAGAGCUGAGCAGCCACUGCCAUUGUGUGGCUGCAUCCAGCCCUGGGGGGGCACUGAGCUGAAUUUCUGAGCUGAGUACCGGGCUGAGGUAGAGGGAUGUGAUUCUGGUGCCUUGGAGGAUGAAAGUGGUACCUGCAAAGCCUUUGUCCAGCCCCUGUGGAAAUGCAGUGGGAGGAGCAGCCUGCCUCUGCCAGGCUGCUGUCAGCCCUUGGCUGUCCAGGCCCCCCACCCCAGCUGACACAGCUGCUGGAGAGCCUGGGGUGACAAGGGGUGCAGGCAGCCCUGUCCCACUUUCAGCAUCUCAGGUCUU